GGGCUAGUACUGGUUUCGACGGGGAUUUUGAAGUUCGGGAAGCCAUCCGUGGACUCCGGAACCACGUUAAAAGCUGGAAUUAAAUUUAAACGCUAACGAUAAUAGUUACGCACUCGCUGCCUAAGCGCAGCGUGUCGAUCGCCUGAGUUCCCGAGCCCGGGAUGAUCGGCAUCAUUUUAAUUCGGGGAACUUUCACUCCAAAGCUUUGAGGAGAGGAAAGAACUUAUGAAGCUACUUGACCUUAGAGCCUGUCAUCCGGCGCUCUGGAAGGGGAAUUUCAAUAGAAUGACUGUGAUGGAAGAAGCCGAAUGAAUAGAUUUUCGGACGCGGGUUCGAUUCCCGCCUGGUCCAUUC
RNAcentral lists this transfer-messenger RNA (354 nucleotides) under Lachnospiraceae. Its description in RNAcentral is "Bilifractor sp024684035 Standard tmRNA". It matches the Rfam family "transfer-messenger RNA". Rfam says of the family: Bacterial tmRNA, also known as 10Sa RNA or SsrA, is named for its dual tRNA and mRNA-like properties. Its role is to liberate the mRNA from a stalled ribosome. The record is from RNAcentral. Lineage: Bacteria; Bacillati; Bacillota; Clostridia; Lachnospirales.